CUGCUGUUAAAGCGUGGAGCUUAACUCCAUAUCGGCGGUGGAAACUGAUGAACUAGAGGGAGGUAGGGGUCACGGGAAUUCCCAGUGUAGCGGUGAAAUGCGUAGAUAUUGGGAAGAACACCAGCGGCGAAAGCGCGUGACUGGGCCAUUACUGACACUCAUGGACGAAAGCUAGGGGAGCGAAAGGGAUUAGAUACCCCUGUAGUCCUAGCCGUAAACGAUGGACACUAGGUGUUGCCCGAUCGACCCGGGCAGUGCCGUAGCUAACGCGUUAAGUGUCCCGCCUGGGGAGUACGCACGCAAGUGUGAAACUCAAAGGAAUUGACGGGGGCCCGCACAAGCGGUGGAGUAUGUGGUUUAAUUCGAUGCAACGCGAAGAACCUUACCAGGGCUUGACAUGUCGCGAAUCCCCUUGAAAGGGGGGAGUGCCUUCGGGAGCGCGAGCACAGGUGGUGCAUGGCUGUCGUCAGCUCGUGUCGUGAGAUGUUGGGUUAAGUCCCGCAACGAGCGCAACCCACGUUUCUAGUUGCCAGCAUUCAGUUGGGCACUUUAGAGAGACUGCCGGUGACAAACCGGAGGAAGGUGUGGAUGACGUCAAGUCAGCAUGCCCCUUACGCCCUGGGCUACACACGUACUACAAUGCUUCGGACAGAGGGUUGCCAGCCCGCGAGGGUGCGCUAAUCCCGUAAACCGAGGCUCAGUUCAGAUUGCAGGCUGCAACUCGCCUGCAUGAAGGCGGAAUCG
Molecule: ribosomal RNA, 744 nt
Filed under: uncultured cyanobacterium
Lineage: Bacteria; Bacillati; Cyanobacteriota
Description: bacterial SSU rRNA
Rfam family: Bacterial small subunit ribosomal RNA
Source: RNAcentral